RNAcentral lists this ribosomal RNA (780 nucleotides) under uncultured bacterium. Its description in RNAcentral is "bacterial SSU rRNA". It matches the Rfam family "Bacterial small subunit ribosomal RNA", at positions 1 to 765 of the family's 1533-position model. The record is from RNAcentral.
UUAGGGUUUGAUCCUGGCUCAGAAUCAACGCUGGCGGCGUGCCUAACACAUGCAAGUCGAACGCGAAAGCCCCGAAAGGGGCAAGUAGAGUGGCAAACGGGUGAGUAACACGUGGGUGACCUGCCUUCGAGCGGGGGAUAACGUCCCGAAAGGGACGCUAAUACCGCAUAACAUCCUGCCUUUGAAGAGGUGGAGAUCAAAGCUGGGGAUCGCAAGACCCGGCACUUGAAGAGGGGCCCGCGUCUGAUUAGCUAGUUGGUGGGGUAAUGGCCUACCAAGGCAACGAUCAGUAUCCGGCCUGAGAGGGCGGACGGACACACUGGGACUGAGACACGGCCCAGACUCCUACGGGAGGCAGCAGUGGGGAAUUGUUCGCAAUGGGCGCAAGCCUGACGACGCAACGCCGCGUGGAGGAUGAAGAUUUUCGGAUCGUAAACUCCUGUCGAAUGGGACGAAAAGAUUGCGGGUUAACAGCCCGUAGUCCUGACGGUACCGUUAAAGGAAACCCCGGCUAACUUCGUGCCAGCAGCCGCGGUAAUACGGGGGGGGUAAGCGUUGUUCGGAAUUACUGGGCGUAAAGGGCUCGUAGGCGGCCAACUAAGUCAUACGUGAAAUCCCUCAGCUUAACUGGGGAACUGCGUGUGAUACUGGAUGGCUUGGAUUUGGGAGAGGGAUGCGGAAUUCCAGGUGUAGCGGUGAAAUGCGUAGAUAUCUGGAGGAACACCGGUGGCGAAUGCGGCAUCCUGGACCAAUAUUGACGCUGAUGAUCGAAAGCCAGGG